RNAcentral lists this ribosomal RNA (443 nucleotides) under uncultured Gammaproteobacteria bacterium. Its description in RNAcentral is "bacterial SSU rRNA". It matches the Rfam family "Bacterial small subunit ribosomal RNA", at positions 1090 to 1533 of the family's 1533-position model. The record is from RNAcentral. Lineage: Bacteria; Pseudomonadati; Pseudomonadota; Gammaproteobacteria.
GCACGAGCGCACCCUUGCCCUAUGUUGCCAGCGGAUAAUGCCGGGGACUCAUGGGGAACUGCCGGUGAUAAACCGGAGGAAGGUGGGGACGACGUCAAGUCAUCAUGGCCCUUACGCCCAGGGCUACACACGUGCUACAAUGGCCGGUACAAAGGGCUGCCAACCCGCGAGGGUGAGCGAAUCCCAAAAAGCCGGUCUAAGUUCGGAUUGUAGUCUGCAACUCGACUGCAUGAAGUCGGAAUCGCUAGUAAUCGUGUAUCAGCAACGAUACGGUGAAUACGUUCCCGGGCCUUGUACACACCGCCCGUCAAGCCAUGGAAGCCGGGAGUGCCCGUAAUCUGUGACCCAACCUAAUGAGGGAGCAGCCGAAGGUAAGUUCGGUGACUGGGGCUAAGUCGUAACAAGGUAGCCGUAGGGGAACCUGCGGCUGGAUCACCUCCUUU